Molecule: long non-coding RNA, 2024 nt
Organism: Echinops telfairi (small Madagascar hedgehog)
Lineage: Eukaryota; Metazoa; Chordata; Mammalia; Afrosoricida; Tenrecidae
Exons: 3
Source: RefSeq, a predicted model, not a curated record
UCGUGUCUGAGCAGGACUGUGUUGUAGAUCUCCGUCUCCCGGAACCAGGACUGCUCGUCCCUGGAGGAGAAGAUCUUGACAGCCACGCUCUCCCCGUGCCACAGGCCCCGCCACACCUCGCCGUAGCGGCCUUUUCCUGCUCCAGCGGCCGCAGAGGAGGGAGAGGGUCACACACUGGCCACAGCCCCACCCGGGAGCCAUGCUCAGACCACUUGCGGAGCCCACUUACAUGCUGGGUGAUUUCCACCCCAACCCCGACCGUAUAUACCCCUUUGCCUCCAUUGGCCUCUUGUUCCCUCCCACUGGCUCUGCGACCCAUCUCCAACCCGAGCCCUGCGUAGCAGACUCCUGAUCCGGCUCCAGGCUGGGUUCUGCUUGUGAAGUGAAGCGCCCCCCUCCCCUCCAGGCUCGUGGGGGCCCUUGGUCCCCCACACCAGGCUCACCUACGCACUCCAUCAGGGCGACCUGCCGCGCCACUGUCCUCUGUACCAGGAAAGGGAGCCCUGAGCCACUGCCUGUGGUGCAGUCACUGUCCAGCAGGUCCUGGGGGUAGGGGUGGGGGUGGUCAGGAGCCACUGAGAGGUUGUUCCUGUCCCCCCAGCCCCUCCCCUGUCCCCAACCUGGGUCCUGCUGCUGUGUCUCAGUGAGCCCCUCCCCCUCUCAGCUCUGUGUGACUGGGACCCUGCUUUUCCCACCUGCCACACUCUGGCUGUGUGGCUCCUAGGCACCCACCUCCACCCGGUGUCCCAGGUUCCCGGGGCCCAUACCCCGAGCAUGCUGUCCCUCUGCUCGGAUGCCUUCAGGAUGAUGCUGGACUCGCCCAGCUGGCUGUGCAGGCCUCGGUUCUUCCGCCGCCGCCGGCGGAUGUGCCACAGGGCCAGGGCACCCAGGGCUAUCAGGGCCAGCAAAGCCAGCACAGGGCCCAGCACCAGAGGUCCCCCAACAUGUCCCAGGAUCCUGCCUCCCCCACCCUCCUGGCCAGAGCACGAGAGAAGGACUUGUAGCAGCAGUAGUGGUUGAAGAACUCCGUGGGGCGGCCCCUGCACAGCUCUGGGUCCCGGGUCCCGCAGCUUCGAUGUUCCCGGGACACACCCUCCUCCUGAACCAGCACUACUGUGCACCAGGCCCCCUGGCAGAUCGGCCCCCUGCACUCCGGGCUCUUACAGGUACAGUUCACCAGCGACCCCCCAGAGGACCUCACAGGGUCUCCUGGGAAACACACCAGCAGCUCAUCCAUCCAUGCUGCACCCGGUGUUCGCCCGCUGAGCCCAACAUCCACACCCGCCCCCCUGCCUCUCUGACUUCUCAAAGCCCUUCGCUCGGUCCCACCCUCAGAUCCCCCUUCCCUAGAAGCCUCCCAGGCUGCAACAGAGACUGUGAGAACCUGCCCCUCCCAGUUCCCAAGCCAGAGCCCCUUAGGCCUGACUACCCACACCCUACCUUCUAACCCAGGGACAGCUCUCCACCCUGAGCGAUGGUAAUACAGGGAGGGUCCAGAGCGCUGGGCCCUAGUCUAACUGAAACUCACCAUCUCCCCCUCUGGCUAAGCUCCCUAGUGCCCCCUUCACGCUGGAGCCUCCCAUCCCACCACAGAGGGCAGGCGCUGAAUGGAGCCCAGCUGUUCAUCGGUUCUCUGUCCAGGCCCAAUACUCACCCGGGGUCAGGCCCAAGGCCAUGAGUAGCAUCAGAAGAUCCCUCCUGGGGGCGCCCAAGGCCAUGGUCUCUGGAGAGGAGCAGUUAGACCUGUGAAAUGUGAUCCCCUUGGGUGCCUUUCAGCCACUGACCCCAGUCCCUCCCACCCAGAGGAAAUCACUGGGAGGUGUUUUGGUGGCAGGGAGGGGGGCUGGGGGCAGCGAGGCCUCCUCUGGGCUUUCGGCCUCUGCCUUUGGGGCGGGGCCUGCAGGGGAAGUCCUGGUUCACUUCCCCAUGGAAACCAUCCUGUUAGGGGCAAAGGGUGGGGAGCCAUGUUGAAGUACUCGGAGCUUGGGGAGUCUGGCCCUGCACCCCUGAUGCUGAGCCUGGAC